GAUGAACGCUGGCGGCGUGCCUAAUACAUGCAAGUCGAGCGAACAGACGAGGAGCUUGCUCCUCUGACGUUAGCAGCGGACGGGUGAGUAACACGUGGAUAACCUACCUAUAAGACUGGGAUAACUUCGGGAAACCGGAGCUAAUACCGGAUAAUAUAUUGAACCGCAUGGUUCAAUAGUGAAAGACGGUUUUGCUGUCACUUAUAGAUGGAUCCGCGCCGCAUUAGCUAGUUGGUAAGGUAACGGCUUACCAAGGCAACGAUGCGUAGCCGACCUGAGAGGGUGAUAGGCCACACUGGAACUGAGACACGGUCCAGACUCCUACGGGAGGCAGCAGUAGGGAAUCUUCCGCAAUGGGCGAAAGCCUGACGGAGCAACGCCGCGUGAGUGAUGAAGGUCUUCGGAUCGUAAAACUCUGUUAUUAGGGAAGAACAAAUGUGUAAGUAACUAUGCACGUCUUGACGGUACCUAAUCAGAAAGCCACGGCUAACUACGUG
This 497-nucleotide ribosomal RNA is filed under the name uncultured bacterium. RNAcentral's name for it is "partial 16S ribosomal RNA". It matches the Rfam family "Bacterial small subunit ribosomal RNA", at positions 28 to 507 of the family's 1533-position model. The record is from RNAcentral.